GAGGGUAUAGCUCAGUGGCAGAGUGUAUGCUUAGCAUGCACAAGGUCCUGGGUUCAAUCCCCAGUACCUUCA
Molecule: transfer RNA, 72 nt
Filed under: Camelus bactrianus (Bactrian camel)
Lineage: Eukaryota; Metazoa; Chordata; Mammalia; Artiodactyla; Camelidae
Also listed under: 3 other names
Rfam family: tRNA
About the family: Transfer RNA (tRNA) molecules are approximately 80 nucleotides in length.
Source: Rfam by way of RNAcentral